Regulatory RNA element from Pontibacillus chungwhensis BH030062, 128 nucleotides. It matches the Rfam family "ylbH leader". From Rfam's summary of the family: This family is a putative regulatory RNA structure that is found upstream of the ylbH gene in B. subtilis and related low GC Gram-positive bacteria. NCBI's taxonomy places the organism in Bacteria, Bacillati, Bacillota, Bacilli, Caryophanales, Bacillaceae. The record is from Rfam.
AAUAAAAAAAGCCUGCAGACAUUUGUCUGCAGGCACCUUUUUUGAUUUAAUUCUCAUCAAAUCAAAAAGGCAAAGGGAGAGGAGAAACCGGAGGAAGAACUUAUGGGGAACGUAAGUCUUCUCCGUCU